This 355-nucleotide ribosomal RNA is filed under the name uncultured bacterium. RNAcentral's name for it is "bacterial SSU rRNA". It matches the Rfam family "Bacterial small subunit ribosomal RNA", at positions 527 to 881 of the family's 1533-position model. The record is from RNAcentral.
GUAGGGAGCAAGCGUUGUCCGGAUUUACUGGGUGUAAAGGGUGCGUAGGCGGCUUUGCAAGUCAGAUGUGAAAUCUAUGGGCUCAACCCAUAAACUGCAUUUGAAACUGUAGAGCUUGAGUGAAGUAGAGGCAGGCGGAAUUCCCCGUGUAGCGGUGAAAUGCGUAGAGAUGGGGAGGAACACCAGUGGCGAAGGCGGCCUGCUGGGCUUUAACUGACGCUGAGGCACGAAAGCGUGGGUAGCAAACAGGAUUAGAUACCCUGGUAGUCCACGCUGUAAACGAUGAUUACUAGGUGUGGGGGGUCUGACCCCUUCCGUGCCGGAGUUAACACAAUAAGUAAUCCACCUGGGGAGU